UGGGUCAAGCUGCUUACCUAUCGAAACACCAUAAGAUCUAUACAAGUUACCAAAUUGGUUUUUAUGCCUCAGUUCCAGAGAGUGUAAGAUGGCCUGUGCUUGGAAUAGCAAUACUAGCCUCUGUCGUGGGAAGCCAAGCGAUCAUAAGUGGAACAUUCUCCAUCAUAAAUCAGAGCCAGUCACUUGGUUGCUUCCCAAGGGUCAAGGUAGUUCACACCUCUGACAAAGUCCAUGGCCAGAUCUAUAUCCCUGAGAUCAAUUGGAUGCUCAUGAUCCUUUGCUUAGCAGUAGCUGUGGGGUUUAGAGACACAAAGCGCAUGGGCAA
This 325-nucleotide unclassified non-coding RNA is filed under the name Hevea brasiliensis (rubber tree). The record is from RNAcentral. Lineage: Eukaryota; Viridiplantae; Streptophyta; Magnoliopsida; Malpighiales; Euphorbiaceae.